CCUACGGGAGGCAGCAGUGGGGAAUAUUGGACAAUGGGCGAAAGCCUGAUCCAGCAAUGCCGCGUGAGUGAUGAAGGCCUUCGGGUCGUAAAGCUCUUUUACCAGGGAUGAUAAUGACAGUACCUGGAGAAUAAGCUCCGGCUAACUCCGUGCCAGCAGCCGCGGUAAUACGGAGGGAGCUAGCGUUGUUCGGAAUUACUGGGCGUAAAGAGUACGUAGGCGGUUAUUCAAGUCAGAGGUGAAAGCCCGGGGCUCAACCCCGGAACUGCCUUUGAAACUAGAUAACUAGAGUCUUGGAGAGGUUAGUGGAAUUCCGAGUGUAGAGGUGAAAUUCGUAGAUAUUCGGAAGAACACCAGUGGCGAAGGCGACUAACUGGACAAGUACUGACGCUGAGGUACGAAAGCGUGGGGAGCAAACAGGAUUAGAUACCCUGGUAGUCCACGCCGUAAACGAUGAUAACUAGUUGUUCGGUCACUUGGUGACUGAGUGACGCAGCUAACGCAUUAAGUUAUCCGCCUGGGGAGUACGGUCGCAAGNUUAAAACNCAAAUGAUGAGNGUGAGAGUUGCGAGACGACACGAGGAGAGG
RNAcentral lists this ribosomal RNA (588 nucleotides) under uncultured bacterium. RNAcentral's name for it is "bacterial SSU rRNA". It matches the Rfam family "Bacterial small subunit ribosomal RNA", at positions 338 to 944 of the family's 1533-position model. The record is from RNAcentral.